CAAAUACCCGCUUUUAAAAUUAAGUUGUGGGUUGUUAGAAUGUAUAGUCUUUGUGGGGAGAAAGACUAUACAUUCUAACAACCCACAACUUAAUUUAAAAAGCGGGUAGUG
Non-coding RNA from Podarcis lilfordi (Lilford's wall lizard), 111 nucleotides. The record is from the annotation of a GenBank genome assembly. Lineage: Eukaryota; Metazoa; Chordata; Lepidosauria; Squamata; Lacertidae.